GCUUGUCUCAAAGAUUAAGCCAUGCAUGUCUAAGUAUAAACGAAUUUAUACUGUGAAACUGCGAAUGGCUCAUUACAUCAGUUAUAGUUUAUUUGAUGGUCCUUGCUACUUGGAUAACCGUAGUAAUUCUAGAGCUAAUACAUGCAUAAAACCCUAACUUCUGGAAAGGGUGUAUUUAUUAGAUGGAAACCAAUGCGGGGUAACCCGGAAUAUGGUGAUUCAUAAUAACUUAUCGGAGCUCAUGGCCUUGUGCCGGAGCCAGGUCAUUCAAAUUUCUGCCCUAUCAGCUUUCGAUGGUAGUGUAGUGGACUACCAUGGCUUUAACGGGUGACGGAGAAUUAGGGUUCGAUUCCGGAGAGGGAGCCUGAGAAACGGCUACCACAUCCAAGGAAGGCAGCAGG
RNAcentral lists this ribosomal RNA (401 nucleotides) under uncultured eukaryote. RNAcentral's name for it is "partial small subunit ribosomal RNA". It matches the Rfam family "Eukaryotic small subunit ribosomal RNA", at positions 30 to 432 of the family's 1831-position model. The record is from RNAcentral.